GCUCGCUUAGCUCAGUCGGCAGAGCGACGUGCUAAUAACGCGUAGGUCCCAGGUUCGAUCCCUGUAGUGAGCA
This 73-nucleotide transfer RNA is filed under the name Coemansia sp. Benny D115. RNAcentral's name for it is "tRNA-Ile". It matches the Rfam family "tRNA". Rfam says of the family: Transfer RNA (tRNA) molecules are approximately 80 nucleotides in length. Their secondary structure includes four short double-helical elements and three loops (D, anti-codon, and T loops). The record is from RNAcentral. Lineage: Eukaryota; Fungi; Kickxellomycota; Kickxellomycetes; Kickxellales; Kickxellaceae.